RNAcentral lists this ribosomal RNA (422 nucleotides) under uncultured prokaryote. Its description in RNAcentral is "bacterial SSU rRNA". It matches the Rfam family "Bacterial small subunit ribosomal RNA", at positions 355 to 774 of the family's 1533-position model. The record is from RNAcentral.
UGAGGAAUAUUGGUCAAUGGCCGGAAGGCUGAACCAGCCAUCCCGCGUGCAGGAUGACGGCCCUAUGGGUUGUAAACUGCUUUUGUACCUGAAGAAACCUGGUUACGUGUAGCCAGUUGCCGGUAAGGUAUGAAUAAGCAUCGGCUAACUCCGUGCCAGCAGCCGCGGUAAUACGGAGGAUGCAAGCGUUAUCCGGAUUCAUUGGGUUUAAAGGGUGCGCAGGUGGGAAAAUAAGUCAGUGGUGAAAUACUGCCGCUUAACGGUAGAAUUGCCAUUGAUACUGUUUUUCUUGAGUAUGGUUGAGGUAGGUGGAAUGUGUUGUGUAGCGGUGAAAUGCAUAGAUAUGACACAGAACGCCAAUUGCGAAGGCAGCUUACUAAGCCAUUACUGACGCUGAGGCACGAAAGCGUGGGGAUCAAACA